GUGGGAGCUUGCUCCUACUGGAUUAGUGGCGAACGGGUGAGUAACACGUGAGCAAUCUGCCCCUGACUCUGGGAUAAGCGUUGGAAACGACGUCUAAUACCGGAUACGAGCUGGGACCGCAUGGUCACCAGCUGGAAAGAACUUUGGUCAGGGAUGAGCUCGCGGCCUAUCAGCUUGUUGGUGAGGUAAUGGCUCACCAAGGCGACGACGGGUAGCCGGCCUGAGAGGGUGACCGGCCACACUGGGACUGAGACACGGCCCAGACUCCUACGGGAGGCAGCAGUGGGGAAUAUUGCACAAUGGGCGCAAGCCUGAUGCAGCAACGCCGCGUGAGGGACGAAGGCCUUCGGGUUGUAAACCUCUUUUAGCAGGGAAGAAGCGAAAGUGACGGUACCUGCAGAAAAAGCGCCGGCUAACUACGUGCCAGCAGCCGCGGUAAUACGUAGGGCGCAAGCGUUGUCCGGAAUUAUUGGGCGUAAAGAGCUCGUAGGCGGUUUGUCGCGUCUGCUGUGAAAAUCCGAGGCUCAACCUCGGACCUGCAGUGGGUACGGGCAAACUA
RNAcentral lists this ribosomal RNA (559 nucleotides) under uncultured Salinibacterium sp. RNAcentral describes it as "bacterial SSU rRNA". It matches the Rfam family "Bacterial small subunit ribosomal RNA", at positions 72 to 643 of the family's 1533-position model. Lineage: Bacteria; Bacillati; Actinomycetota; Actinomycetes; Micrococcales; Microbacteriaceae. The record is from RNAcentral.